AAGGAAUACUAUUAAUAAUAGCUAGUGCAUACUUCUAAAGUAUUCACCAUGUGUCAGCACUGUCCUAUGCCAGGGAUCAGCAAAUUUUUUCUUUAAGAUAAUAAACAUUUUAGGCUUUAUGGACCAAAAGGCAAAAUUGAAGAUAUUAUGUAAGUUCCUAUACAACCACUUCAAAUACAAUCAUUUAAAACAUUUCAUUUUAAUUCUUAGUUCAUGGAUCAUUAAAAAAAAAAAAUUCCGGCUGCUGGAUGAAUUUGGCUUAUUGGCCAUAAUUUGUUGAUUCUGUUCUAAGAACUUUACAUAUAUUAACUCAUUUAAUCUUUUCAUCCACCUAUGAGGUAGGUACUAUUGAAUCCCUAUUUUAGGAAUAAGGAAAUUGAAGCAAAGAGAAAUUUGGUUACUUCCUGAGAUCAGACAACUGUAUUGUAUUAGUAUAAAUAGUAGAGUCUAGUAUAUGGAAUAUUAUUUUCUCUACGUGCAUUUCCUUCUUUUGAAGGUUCAUAUAUAAUACUUUUUUGUCCACAGUAAAAGACACAUUGAUUGGAAUGUUCCUCUUGUUAGAUAACCUCUCUUUCUGACGUCAAAAUGCUAGGCCUCUUGGAAUCAUGCUGGGGGCUACAGUACGUAAAGAGACAUUGUGUGGAAUUAAAAGUUCCUGCAUUGAACACAAUGAGACUUUUCACUUUGGCAGUUUACAGGCAGAGGUCACUACGGAGUCAACCAUCGUGGUUUCUGACAAGCCUUUUCCAGCUUUGCAGUCCAGAGAUCCUGAGCACGAUCAUCUUCCCUUAUGUCAUUUCCCAUCCCCUUAAAAUUCCCUUGGAUUCACUUUGCAGGGGACAGAAAGGGGAGGUGUGCUUGAUAUGGUGUUUUCUUCAUCUGAGGCCAAGAUGGAGCAACAGGGUAGAAGGAGAAAAUCUUAGAGGAAGCAGGAAAAAGGAGUCUGAGUUGACCACUGAAUGUGAUUUUCUCCUAAUAAUGGUACCCAAACUUCUUUUUCACCAUGGCUGAGUGGCCACCUGCAAAAUCUCCAACCUAAGGGACGGUUUCAUCUACUUCCAGGCAAAACUGACAGUGUGAAAAUACUGGAGUUACUGAGCAAAUUCACUCCAGCCUGUGCUGACUAGAGACUUACAUCUUACAAUUAAGCAGUGUUUUGUCCUGCUUUACAAAUCAGCAGUUUCCUUAUUGCUUAACACAAAUACAUCGUAUCAAAAGGAAAAACAAAUCUUCAUAAAAUAAUAAAACUAUAUAAUGCUACUUGAUACUGCUCUAUCACACUUUGAGAAUUUCGAAGAAUAAUCAUCAUUUAUAGGAAAGGAGAAGUGAUUUGAAAUAGUGAUAUUGCCUGGCCCUUCAAUUUAUAAAGUCACAGCGUAAGAAGAAAUGGCGAAAUACAGAAGGAAAUUGAGUUACAGACUAACCCAGGAUGUUGACAAGUAAAAUCCAGAGGGUUCUGGGUUCUGUGCUGCUUCCAUGUCCUCAAGGGAGCACAUCACUCUCACUGUAGCAGACACUACUACACAGUACCCAUUCUCCCCUUCUUUCUUACUUUAGGGGAAGCAGUUGUGUUCAGGUUAAACACACACCAACACCACUACUAUUUUCUGGCUUUACUUGUAACUCCAGAUGUCUAUGUGACACGGUUGCGAUUUAAGAUGUAAGCGGUGUGUGAUAGGGUGGGUUCCUGGGAAACUUUGUUUAAAGGGAGUAUAUGUGGCAGCCCAUGCCUCUUUCCCUUCAUCCUUUUCCUUCUUUCCUGAAGGCACCAUGUUGGGAAGUAGAGGAGCCAUCUUACAAUCAUGAGGAAGAGUAGCUGAACUAAGGGUGUCAGGGCAAAAGAAAAAAGCCCUGUGUGUUUCAGCAGGUGUCAUUCUGAUCACUUGAGCCCAACACAAUCUCUAACUGACAUAUUCAUCUCUGUAAAUGAGGAACCUCCUUUAAACUGACCAUAGUCACACACGAUAUGUAAAAAGCCAUGAUUCAAGUCCACGUCUAUUUCCCAGGCGCCCAUUCUUUUCGUUCUUUGUCCCUACUGUUUGCCUCUGCUUCCUCAGUUGAGACCUAGAACUUAUGGUGUUUUCCAGUAGCUCACAAUUCCUGGGAAAAGUUCCUAAAAAUGAUUCAUUUCACAAUACUGAAUGACAGACUUACCUCCUGCUUGACCUUGUCAUGCCAAAAGUGAGUUCAAAGGUAUUCUUUGAACUAUUCCUCAUUGAAAUGUUGAGGGAAAUUCAGAGCAAGCUUCCUAAAGAACAGGGCAUUAGAACUGGGCUGUGAAGGUUUCAGGGAUUUCAACCACUGAGGUCAUAGAAGGAAAGGCAUUUCAAGCAAAGAGGAAACUUUGAGUGAAAGCAUAAAGAAGGUCAACUCCAGUUUGGCAGGAGCAAAGGAUAUGUAAAAAACUAUACUCACUUUUUUAAAGUUUUUAUGCACUAAAUAUUUCCAAAAAUGAUUUUGGAGGUGGCAUACACCUCCAAUGGAAAUUCAAUAAAACCACAAAACCAAAAUAAAAAUGGGAAUUAUUUUUAGUGCUGAAUAGUAAACCUGGUAGAAGAUAGUAGUACCAGACAACUUAAACUAAGGAAAUCUUCAGCAGCUGAGUGCAAAACUGAAUUUAACUUUCCAGUAGCAAAAGCAAAAAAACAAGAAUGUAAUGUGUUAUAUUGU
Long non-coding RNA from Macaca mulatta (Rhesus monkey), 2670 nucleotides. Lineage: Eukaryota; Metazoa; Chordata; Mammalia; Primates; Cercopithecidae. The record is from Ensembl.